This 481-nucleotide long non-coding RNA is filed under the name Danio rerio (zebrafish). RNAcentral's name for it is "lncRNA (ENSDARG00000117436.1)". Lineage: Eukaryota; Metazoa; Chordata; Actinopteri; Cypriniformes; Danionidae. The record is from RNAcentral.
GGGGUGGGGACUUUCUCCAUUUGUCCAUAAGCUCUUAACCGGCGGCAAACGCGACACUUUCCACGGCACACCCACGCUGCCCUUAUGAACAUAUACAUUUAUUUAUAAACACCGUCAGAUUCCGUUUGGUCAGUUCACCCACGACUUUUCUGGUAUCUUGGGGGCAUUUUAAAUUCCCAGAAACACAAGGGGCUCGAUUCUUAAGGCUGGAAAACGAAAGUAUGUUGCAGAGCAAGAGAAGGCGUCAGAAAGACAACAACAUUGUGACAUAUGGAGCUGAACUCUAAUGGUUAAGAAGACUCCGUAAUGAUUGGGAAAGUUUGGACACUGAUCAUUGUAUUAUCACUCAUCAAAUUUAUUCAUCAUAUCCAAGCUGAAUGUAUGCAACAAGAUAUUGAGGAACACCUGGUGAGUCUAAUCUUUGUCAUUCUAUUAUUUUCUUGCAGUUAGCUGCCAUUACUCUUUUAGAAAAAUCACUCAG